This 495-nucleotide ribosomal RNA is filed under the name uncultured bacterium. RNAcentral's name for it is "partial 16S ribosomal RNA". It matches the Rfam family "Bacterial small subunit ribosomal RNA", at positions 28 to 507 of the family's 1533-position model. The record is from RNAcentral.
GAUGAACGCUGGCGGCGUGCCUAAUACAUGCAAGUAGAACGCUGAAGGAGGAGCUUGCUCUUCUGGAUGAGUUGCGAACGGGUGAGUAACGCGUAGGUAACCUGCCUGGUAGCGGGGGAUAACUAUUGGAAACGAUAGCUAAUACCGCAUGACAACAGUUAUUGCAUGAUAACUGUUUAAAAGGGGCAACUGCUCCACUACCAGAUGGACCUGCGUUGUAUUAGCUAGUUGGUGAGGUAACGGCUCACCAAGGCGACGAUACAUAGCCGACCUGUGAGGGUGGUCGGCCACACUGGGACUGAGACACGGCCCAGACUCCUAAGGGAGGCAGCAGGAGGGGAUCUUCCGCAAUGGGCGGAAGUCUGACCGAGCAACGCCGGGUGAGGGAAGAAGGGUCUCGGAUCCGAAAGAUCUGUUGUAAGGGAAGAACGAGAGUGAGAGUGGAAAGUGCACACUGUGACGGUAUCUUACCAGAAAGCGACGGCUAACUACGUG